RNAcentral lists this ribosomal RNA (543 nucleotides) under Trigonopterus sp. 540 AR-2022a. RNAcentral's name for it is "partial large subunit ribosomal RNA". It matches the Rfam family "Bacterial large subunit ribosomal RNA", at positions 1819 to 2625 of the family's 2925-position model. The record is from RNAcentral. Lineage: Eukaryota; Metazoa; Arthropoda; Insecta; Coleoptera; Curculionidae.
GUCUUGUUGAUAAUAAUUUUAAGUCUGACCUGCCCACUGAGGGUUUAAAUGGCCGCGGUAUUUUGACCGUGCAAAGGUAGCAUAAUCAUUAGUUUUUUAAUUGGAAGCUUGAAUGAAGGGUUUGAUGAAAAAAAAUCUGUCUCUGUAAAAGUGAUUUAGAAUUUUAUUUUUAAGUUAAAAAGCUUAAAUUUUUAUAGAAGACGAGAAGACCCUAUAGAGUUUAAUAUUUAUAUGAAAGAGGAGUUUAAAGGAAGGAAUGAGAUGUUAUUUUUUAUGUAAGUAUUUUGUUGGGGUGAUAGAAAAAUUAAGUAAACUUUUUUUCUAGUGGAAGAUACAUUUAUUUGUGGAUAUAUGAUCCUAUUGUUUAGAUUAGAAGAUUAAACUACCUUAGGGAUAACAGCGUUAUUUUUUUAAGAGUUCUUAUCGAAAAAAAAGAUUGCGACCUCGAUGUUGGAUUAAAAUUAAUUGUUGGUGUAGGAGCUAGCAUAUUAGGUCUGUUCGACCUUUAAAAUUUUACAUGAUCUGAGUUUAGACCGGUGUAAG